GCGCCAGUAGCUCAGUUGGAUAGAGCAACGGCCUUCUAAGCCGUAGGUCGCUGGUUCGAGCCCAGCCUGGCGCG
Molecule: transfer RNA, 74 nt
Filed under: Longimicrobium terrae
Lineage: Bacteria; Pseudomonadati; Gemmatimonadota; Longimicrobiia; Longimicrobiales; Longimicrobiaceae
Also listed under: 3 other names
Rfam family: tRNA
About the family: Transfer RNA (tRNA) molecules are approximately 80 nucleotides in length. Their secondary structure includes four short double-helical elements and three loops (D, anti-codon, and T loops).
Source: Rfam by way of RNAcentral